This 1389-nucleotide ribosomal RNA is filed under the name metagenome. Its description in RNAcentral is "bacterial LSU rRNA". It matches the Rfam family "Bacterial large subunit ribosomal RNA", at positions 1523 to 2925 of the family's 2925-position model. The record is from RNAcentral.
UCACAGGAACAUAGCCUAACCCCGCCGUUGGUUGAGUGGGGCGUAAGGGAGCGAAAAUUAGUAGCGAAGUAGGUGAUUGUACACUGGCGAGAAAAGCUGUAUGUAUUGAUAAGGUGCCCGUACCGCAAACCGACACAGGUAGAUGAGGAGAGAAUCCUAAGACCAGCGGGAGAAGUGUUGUUAAGGAACUCGGCAAAAUGACCCCGUAACUUCGGGAUAAGGGGAGCCUACGCGAGUAGGCCGCAGAGAAUAGUCUCAAGCGACUGUUUAGCAAAAACACAGGUCUAUGCUAAAUCGAAAGAUGAUGUAUAUGGGCUGACGCCUGCCCGGUGCUGGAAGGUUAAGGGGAAGUGUUAGAGCAAUCGAAGCACUGAACUUAAGCCCCAGUAAACGGCGGCCGUAACAAUAACGGUCCUAAGGUAGCGAAAUUCCUUGUCAGGUAAGUUCUGACCCGCACGAAUGGCGUAACGACUUGAGAGCUGUCUCAACAACAUACCCGGCGAAAUUGAAGUACUGGUAAAGAUGCCAGUUACCCGUGAUAAGACGGAAAGACCCCAUGGAGCUUUACUGUAACUUGAUAUUGAAUUUUUGUAUUACAUGUACAGGAUAGGUGGGAGACAGAGAACUAAUGCCGCCAGGUGUUAGGGAGUCGAUGUUGGGAUACCACUCUUGUAAUAUGAAGGUUCUAACCUGCACCCGUGAAUCCGGGUGGGGGACACUGUCAGGUGGACAGUUUGACUGGGGCGGUCGCCUCCUAAAAGGUAACGGAGGCGUUCAAAGGUUGGUUCAGCACGGACGGAAAUCGUGCAACGAGUGCAAAUGCAUAAACCAGCCUAACUGCGAGACCGACAAGUCGAGCAGUAACGAAAGUUGGAGUUAGUGAUCCGGCGGUAUGAGAGUGGAAUUGCCGUCGCUCAACGGAUAAAAGCUACCCUGGGGAUAACAGGCUGAUCUCCCCCAAGAGUCCACAUCGACGGGGAGGUUUGGCACCUCGAUGUCGGCUCAUCGCAUCCUGGAGCUGUAGUCGGUUCCAAGGGUUGGGCUGUUCGCCCAUUAAAGCGGUACGCGAGCUGGGUUCAGAACGUCGCGAGACAGUUCGGUCCCUAUCUAUCACGGGCGUAGGAAAUUUGAGGAGAGCUGACCUUAGUACGAGAGGACCGGGUUGGACGUACCGCUGGUGCACCUGUUGUUCUGCCAAGGGCAUAGCAGGGUAGCUAAGUACGGACGGGAUAAACGCUGAAGGCAUCUAAGCGUGAAGCCCCCUUCGAGAUAAGAUUUCCCAUAGCGUAGGCUAGUAAGGACCCAUGAAGACUACAUGGUUGAUAGGCCGGAGGUGGAAGUGCAGUAAUGUAUGUAGCUGACCGGUACUAAUAGUCCGAGGGCUAGAUC